Molecule: ribosomal RNA, 444 nt
Filed under: uncultured bacterium
Lineage: Bacteria
Description: bacterial SSU rRNA
Rfam family: Bacterial small subunit ribosomal RNA
Source: RNAcentral
CCUANGGGAGGCUGCAGUCGAGAAUCUUCCGCAAUGGACGAAAGUCUGACGGAGCGACGCCGCGUGAUUGAUGAAGCUCUUCGGAGUGUAAAGAUCUUUUAUGAGGGAAGAAGUUUAUUGACGGUACCUCAUGAAUAAGGGGCUCCUAAUCUCGUGCCAGCAGGAGCGGUAAUACGAGAGCCCCAAGCGUUAUCCGGAAUUAUUGGGCGUAAAGGGUGCGUAGGUGGUUAUGUUAGUCAUUUGUCAAAUUCCCGAGCUCAACUUGGGAACCGCGAACGAAACGGCAUGACUAGAGAGUGUGAUGGGUAUAGGGAACUCAUGGUGUAGGGGUGAAAUCCGUUGAUAUCAUGGGGAACACCAAAAGCGAAGGCACUAUACUGGCACAUAUCUGACACUAAAGCACGAAAGCGUGGGUAGCGAAUGGGAUUAGAUACCCCANUANUC